GACGAACGCUGGCGGCGCGCUUAACACAUGCAAGUCGAACGGAAAGGCCUGCUUUCCCUUGUGGAUUGCGGGUACUCGAGUGGCGAACGGGUGAGUAACACGUGAGUGAUCUGCCCCCAACUUGGGUAUAAGCCUGGGAAACUGGGUCUAAUUCCCGAUAGGACUGCAGGGUGGUGCCUGUGGUGGAAAACGAUUUUCUAGUGGUUGGGGAUGAGCUCGCGGCCUAUCAGCUUGUUGGUGGGGUAAUGGCCUACCAAGGCGGCGACGGGUAGCCGGCCUGAGAGGGUGGACGGCCACAUUGGGACUGAGAUACGGCCCAGACUCCGACGGGAGGCAGCAGUGGGGAAUAGUGCACAAUGGGCGGAAGCCUGAUGCAGCGACGCCGCGUGGGGGAUGACGGCCUUCGGGUUGUAAACUCCUUUCGACCGCGAGGAAGCCACCUGGUGGGAAGGGUGGUGACGGUAGUGGUAGAAGAAGCACCGGCUAACUACGU
This 493-nucleotide ribosomal RNA is filed under the name uncultured bacterium. RNAcentral's name for it is "partial 16S ribosomal RNA". It matches the Rfam family "Bacterial small subunit ribosomal RNA", at positions 28 to 506 of the family's 1533-position model. The record is from RNAcentral.